RNAcentral lists this ribosomal RNA (440 nucleotides) under uncultured bacterium. RNAcentral's name for it is "partial 16S ribosomal RNA". It matches the Rfam family "Bacterial small subunit ribosomal RNA", at positions 338 to 795 of the family's 1533-position model. The record is from RNAcentral.
CCUACGGGAGGCAGCAGUGGGGGAUAUUGCACAAUGGGGGGAACCCUGAUGCAGCGACGCCGCGUGGGUGAAGAAGCGCCUCGGCGCGUAAAGCCCUGUCAGCAGGGAAGAAAAUGACGGUACCUGAAGAAGAAGCCCCGGCUAACUACGUGCCAGCAGCCGCGGUAAUACGUAGGGGGCAAGCGUUAUACGGAUUUACUGGGUGUAAUGGGGGCGCAGACGGUGAUGCAAGCCAGGAGUGAAAGCCCGGGGCCCAACCCCGGGACUGCGCUUGAAACGGGGUGGCUGGAGUACAGGAGGGGGAGGCGGAAUUCCUGGUGUAGCGGUGAAAGGCGUAGAUAUCAGGAGGAACACCGGUGGCGAAGGCGGCCUGCUGGACUGCAACUGACGUUGAGGCCCGAAAGCGUGGGGAGCAAACAGGAUUAGAUACCCUUGUAGUC